This 253-nucleotide ribosomal RNA is filed under the name uncultured bacterium. Its description in RNAcentral is "partial 16S ribosomal RNA". It matches the Rfam family "Bacterial small subunit ribosomal RNA", at positions 524 to 776 of the family's 1533-position model. The record is from RNAcentral.
UACGUAGGGUGCGAGCGUUAAUCGGAAUUACUGGGCGUAAAGGGCGCGUAGGCGGCUUGGCCAGUCAGGCGUGAAAUUCCUGGGCUUAACCUGGGGACUGCGCUUGAUACUGCCAGGCUUGAGGCCGAGAGAGGGUGGUGGAAUUCCCAGUGUAGAGGUGAAAGUCGUAGAUAUUGGGAAGAACACCGGUGGCGAAGGCGACCACCUGGCUCGGUUCUGACGCUGAGGCGCGACAGCGUGGGGAGCAAACAGG